Molecule: long non-coding RNA, 2612 nt
Filed under: Triticum aestivum (bread wheat)
Lineage: Eukaryota; Viridiplantae; Streptophyta; Magnoliopsida; Poales; Poaceae
Description: long non-coding RNA (TAES_LNC011053)
Source: RNAcentral
UGUAGGCAUAUAUAUCUAGUUUUAUCUCUUGUGGCUUGUUUAUUUAUAUUUACUACUGGUUUUUGUGUGCUGGAUCUUCAUACUUAAACUUAAAUAAAUAUGGCAGUGUGCAUCGCAAUGAUGCAGAGGCUAGGGGUUAUCCUCCAUUUCUAAAAAAAAUGUGAACACUUACUUGAUGCUUGGAAUUAGUGUAGUGUAUGUGUUAGGACUUAGGACCACUACUGUGCCUAGCUAGGUAGAAUUGUUAGGCAGCUCGCACGUGUUCUUAUUCGAACUUGCAGUUGUCGUCUUAUCAAUGUGGAUAGCAGCUUCCUUCAUUUUUGUGGUGGCAAAAAGAUGGAGAAAAGUCGAGGUGCAACUGAGGAUCAAACGGCAAGCUCGCGUGCCAGCCUUUCGUCAAGUCUUCAAACUGGAAAGAAAAAUAAGGACCUAACUGGCCAGCGUUCUUCAUUCCUAACAGGUGCGUUCAUCUCCUUAACUCAUUUCUGUUUGCUCCCUGCUGCUCCUGUUCCAUUUUGGCUACCAAAAUAUACUCCAUCACUUUCUUGCCUCACCUCUUCCUAUACACAUUGAUUAGUGUGUAUAUGUCAAGAACAAUCUCUGUAUCUUGUUUAAUGUGCUAAAAUCUCUUGGUGACAGUUCAAGUGUGUGCUUCCUAGACUGCAUACCUACUUACAAAGGCUAAAUGUCCAGCAGGUACGUAUUCCCUUGCUACCAACUUAUGCAAGCCUGCUGUCUAUCUCAAGCAAACUAAUUUUUCCAUGCAUCUACUUCUCACUAACAACAUAUACUAGGAUGGAGGACCAAAGUGUGCUACAGCGUAUACUUGAUGGAGACGAGAAACCGACGGCUCUGCCAUUUGCACUGCUAGAGCAGAUCACGGGUAAUUUCCGUGAAGAGCAAAAAAUUGGGCACGGUGGAUUUGGAGAGGUCUACAAGGUAUAGUUUUACCAUUUUAGAUAUUACAUAAAGGUCUCAAGUCCAGUCAAAUAUCACUCUUGUUUCCCUUGCCGAAUCGCCUUACUGUCACUUGAUGGAGGAUAUAAAGAGGCUCAUGUUGGAGCGGGAGUUUGUUUUAGUUAAGAUAGGCCGUUCCCGUAAUAGGGUUUCUCACUGUCUAACUAAUUAUGCUCGCACAGGUCGGAGUACCGCUUGUUGGUUACAGUGAAUCCCCCUUUUAUUCAGAAUCUUGUUUUAGCAUAUUAUAACCCUAUUGCCAUGGAAUAAAAGUAUAAAACUCUCUUUUUGUUCAAGAAUAACUACAACCAAACCAAUGGAAGCAGAACAUAUUAUCCUGCACAAUUAUUUUAUUGCUGCCGAGCGAUCACACGGAGCAGCGCAGCGAGUGACAGACAAGGGCCGAGGCCCACUUACACAUAAUGCGUCCAACCUGUUUUGGGAACCUUCAAGAAGGUUCCCUGAACAGGGUUUUUUACUGUAUCGUUUUUUCUUGUUCUUUUUCAGCCUUCUAUUGUUUUUUAUUUCUCUUUUUUUCGUUUCUGUUUCUUUUUCAUUUUUCAUUUUUUGUUUCAUUUUCCUUUUCAAGUUUAUUUUUCUUUUUAGAACAUGUUCACAGUUUUAUAAAAUGUUUAGUAUUUUCUUUUUUAUUUCUUCUUUAUUUUCCUUUUUUUCAAAAAAAAUCGAAAAAUUCAAAUUUUGUUCGUGUUUUGGAAAAAUAUUCAGUUUUUGAAAAAAUGUUCUCAAUAUUCAAAAAAAUUCUUGUUACACCAAAAAGUUCAAUACUUUCAAAAUUCAGAAUAUGUACCAGAUUUCAAUUUUUUCACAUAUACAAAAAAAGUUCGCCCUUUCAAAUUUGUUCGGUAUUUUUCAAAAUUGUUCCCUCUUUCAAAAUAUAUUCUCAAGAUUCAAAAAAUAUUCGUGCUUUCAAAAAUUAUUUGCGCUUCCAAAUUUGUUUGGGUUUUUGUCAAAAUUGUUCUCCGUUUCAAAUUUUGUUCGCACGAUUCAAAAAAUGUUCGUGCUUCAAAAAAUAGUCCACGCUUCCAAAUUUGUUCUAAAGAUUAAAAAAUCGUUUGUGCUUUAAUAAAUUGUUCACAAAUUCCAAAAAUGUUCAUGUUUUCGAAAGAUAUUUGGUAAUUCAAAAUUUGUUCAUUUUCAUUAAAUACGUUCACAUAUUCGAAAAAUGUUCUUGUUUAACAAAAAUCACAAAUUCAAAAAAUUACUCUUAGUUUUCGGAAAUUUAGUUCCCAAAUUGGAAAAGUAUUAAACAUUCAAAAAAUGUUCAGAAAUUUCGUAAAAUGUUCACAGUUUACAAAUGUGGUUAUAAAUUUUAAAUAUAAUCAAGAAUCUUAAAAAAUGUUUGUGGUUUCAAUUUUUUGUUUAGAAUUUCAUAAAAUAUUUCAUAAAAUGCUCAAGGUUUCAAAUUUUGCUCGGACUACAAAAAUUAUUCACAUUUUUUCAAAAAAAAUGUCCCUAUGUCCGUGUUCCUUUUUCUUGUUUUCUUUUCUUUCUAAUUAUCUGUUAGUUUUCCUUUUCACAAUUAUUUCUUUAGUUAACAAAUUUUCUGGGAUUUGAAAAUGUUCGUAUUUCUUAAAAUUUGUUCAUUUUUCCAGAUUUUGUUCCGGUUUUCAAAUUUUCAUCAGAAAUUCCAUAAA